AAACCUUCCGAAGGGAUGUGCCGGGCGUCACCAUAACGGGAGCUUCACAAGGUCCGGGGAAAAGUCUAGGGAAAGUCCCGCAGUGGUCAAAACGGCAAACCGGCGGCAAGACCUUUCCCAGACAAGUAAUGUCUGGAUGUGCUAAGGGAAAGGUGGGCAGGGGAAGUGCCGGGCGCCACCGUCACUGACUGCUUCACAUCCAGGAGACGGUACUAGUGGUCCUGCCGGAAGGCGUCUUGGUGCCUCUUGAAGUGGGUUUCCUUGGAAGUCUUGAUCAGUUUCUAGAGAAUGUUAAUCAUCUCUGCAAUGACCCAAUGGACAUAAGGACGCGUGAAAGGAAGACAUUCCGAAACUGUAUUUCUACAAUCUCUACAACGACUUGAUGUCUGUAUCAUUUGUGACAAGUUGAUACUUACGUACAGCCUGGUCCUGUUGAAAUGGAGGAAUCAACUGGAAGACAAGGACUAACAGGUUCAACUGAUCAUGACAUCAAGUAACUGACUGAUGAGGGUGGUCCAGUGUCAAGUCUGCAGCCAGAAAGACGGGUGGUCGUCUGUCAGAGGAUCUGGUGUUAGGCAAGCCAAGAAUGAUAAGUUUUGCAUGUUUCAUGAGAAGGCGAUCGAAAGCUUUCUUGAACUCAUAAGUAGUACGUGUCGACUGUCUGGACAGUUCUUUCGUACUUGUAAUGUAACUGUAUACUUAAGACUGUUUAGAGAGUGGUAGUAGAUUGAGAGCGUAAAAAAUUAUGCAGAAUUGGGCUGGGUCUUUGGCAUGAUGGAAAGUUGCUGAUUUGUGAUUUUUCUUCAUUUCUUAAAUAUCUUAAACUGAAUGUGCGAUCUGUCUGCCUGAGGUAUUGUCGGCAGGGAAACUUACAAUCUCUUGGUCGGUGGUAAGGUGCUUGAGUAUGUUUUGUUGAUAUCCUGAGUGAUGAUGUUGGUGGAGGGUUGGGGCGUUUUGUGAGUGGCGGCUUCUUUGACAGACAGGGCUUUGGUCGGUUUCUGCAGUGUACAGGCCCGAUGUUUGGCUGCUUCGGUUUCUGUGAUUAUGUUAAUGGCC
Long non-coding RNA from Branchiostoma floridae (Florida lancelet), 1056 nucleotides. RefSeq lists it as uncharacterized. The transcript is spliced from 4 exons. The record is from RefSeq and is a predicted model, not a curated record. NCBI's taxonomy places the organism in Eukaryota, Metazoa, Chordata, Leptocardii, Amphioxiformes, Branchiostomatidae.